RNAcentral lists this ribosomal RNA (1063 nucleotides) under uncultured bacterium. Its description in RNAcentral is "bacterial SSU rRNA". It matches the Rfam family "Bacterial small subunit ribosomal RNA", at positions 9 to 1085 of the family's 1533-position model. The record is from RNAcentral.
GAGUUUGAUCCUGGCUCAGGACGAACGCUGGCGGCGUGCUUAACACAUGCAAGUCGAACGAGCCUCAGACCUUCGGGUCUGUGGUUAGUGGCGAACGGGUGAGUAACACGUGAGCAACCUGCCCUUGACACUGGAAUAACAGCUGGAAACAGCUGCUAAUACCGGAUACGACCUUCGAUGGCAUCAUCUGGAGGUGGAAAGCUCCGACGGUCAAGGAUGGGCUCGCGGCCUAUCAGCUUGUUGGUGAGGUAACGGCUCACCAAGGCUUCGACGGGUAGCCGGCCUGAGAGGGCGACCGGCCACACUGGGACUGAGAUACGGCCCAGACUCCUACGGGAGGCAGCAGUGGGGAAUAUUGCACAAUGGGCGAAAGCCUGAUGCAGCAACGCCGCGUGCGGGAUGACGGCCUUCGGGUUGUAAACCGCUUUCAGUUCCGACGAAGGUAACCUGACGGUAGGAACAGAAGAAGGACCGGCCAACUACGUGCCAGCAGCCGCGGUGAUACGUAGGGUCCGAGCGUUGUCCGGAAUUAUUGGGCGUAAAGGGCUUGUAGGCGGUUCGUCGCGUCGGAAGUGAAAACUCAGGGCUUAACCCUGAGCCUGCUUCCGAUACGGGCGAACUAGAGGGAUGCAGGGGAGAACGGAAUUCCUGGUGGAGCGGUGGAAUGCGCAGAUAUCAGGAGGAACACCGGUGGCGAAGGCGGUUCUCUGGGCAUUUCCUGACGCUGAGAAGCGAAAGCGUGGGGAGCAAACAGGCUUAGAUACCCUGGUAGUCCACGCCGUAAACGGUGGGCACUAGGUGUGGGGGACAUUCCACGUUCUCCGUGCCGCAGCUAACGCAUUAAGUGCCCCGCCUGGGGAGUACGGCCGCAAGGCUAAAACUCAAAGGAAUUGACGGGGGCCCGCACAAGCGGCGGAGCAUGCGGAUUAAUUCGAUGCAACGCGAAGAACCUUACCUGGGUUUGACAUAUGCCGGAAAGCUGCAGAGAUGUAGCCCCCGCAAGGUCGGUAUACAGGUGGUGCAUGGCUGUCGUCAGCUCGUGUCGUGAGAUGUUGGGUUAAGU